Brassica napus (rape) is the source of this 851-nucleotide long non-coding RNA. RefSeq lists it as uncharacterized. NCBI's taxonomy places the organism in Eukaryota, Viridiplantae, Streptophyta, Magnoliopsida, Brassicales, Brassicaceae. The transcript is spliced from 3 exons. The record is from RefSeq and is a predicted model, not a curated record.
CCCCGACGACGCUCUUCGAAAUCGAUCUCUAGGGUUGGUGUGUUCGUUGAAAUCAAUCCAGGAGCAGCAGAACUUGAUGAGGACGUCGUGUUAUCGGAUUUGAAUUUGAGCAGCUUCGUUCAGAUUCUAGGGUUCACGUUGCGAUCCUCUUUGUUUCUCUCUUUUCUGGUUUCUGGAAAAAAGAGAGGACCUUGAAGAAAAAUCAAAACGAGGUCGUGUUAAUAGUGUUUGUUUUCAUAAAAAAAAAAACAUAACGGACUUAGGGCUAACCCGCGUUUCAUUUUAGCCGGCCCUACUUUAACCCACACAAAACAAAACGGGUUUUGGGUUAAGAAAAUAGAUGCGGGCCGGGCUAACCCUAUUGGCAAAAGCCCAUAUUAACAUCCCUAGUGAUAGUAGAAGCAUGGCUAAAGAGGAGCACGGAAAAAAUGGGGACUAAGGCCGACGAAAGGUUUCUCUUUCUCAAACAUCAAUAUCAUACAAGUCUUAUUUAUAACUUUGGUCUCAGAAAGAUUAUGCUUCCCUUUAUUUGGUUAUGUUUUCAAAGUUGUCAUAAGCUGCACUAACAUGAGAGUAAAUCAUCGGUGAGAUGGAAAAAACUUACAGGCAAUGCCUUGGGGGGUUAACAAGAUUUGGUAUGGUGGUCUAUUUUGUGGUGCUGGUAGUGGCUGUGGCGGCGGUGGGGUGAUAGACGUGGUGGGAGCGUCAGCAAUGAUAUGAUCUUUGUCAAGACUGAUGACUUUCAGACUGAUUAUUUUGCAAGAAGUUGAUGGUUAUAUAUGUCGCUAUAAUAAAAACUCCCAUGCCAUUCUUCAUUAAGUCGGGAUAGAGGAUGUAGACAAAUAUGUUGU